Molecule: long non-coding RNA, 1539 nt
Filed under: Homo sapiens (human)
Lineage: Eukaryota; Metazoa; Chordata; Mammalia; Primates; Hominidae
Description: non-protein coding lnc-SCP2D1-1:8
Source: RNAcentral
AGUUUAGUUCCAGGAUCCACACUCCUCCACCAUAGUCAGGAGAUUCAGGGAAAGUUGGCAGGGUUCAGCUUUCAAGUUGACCCUUGAUGAACCAUGGUCAAUCCUGUUAAGAGGCGUGAAAGCCAAUCCCAGCCAAUGAGACUGGGGAGAAAUCACUGAAGAACUUGUGGAAAACAGACCCUCUGGAUAAAAGACACGUGUGGGGAAAAAGGGGCUUUUUAAUGUUAUUCUGGAUGUUUCCCAAAAGUACUGCUGCUGCCUUGCCUCCCUGACAGACACUGGCCUUAGGAUGACAUGCGGCAGGAAGGAAGGACGGAUCUGGGGUUUUUCAAGACUCACUGAGAUGCACAAGGAACCAACCCUCAAGUAGCCAACUCGUUCCUGUUUGCAUGUGUCGACUGAAAAGAAUCAAAAUAAACAAAAUAUAACUAUUUCUAAGAGGUUACAACUUGCAGGCAGGAAGCAGGCCUCUACCUGAGGCCAUAAAGCAUACUUUGAAGGAGAAAAGGUAGGUAUUUAUGCUAGGUGGAGAGGUAGGAUAUACGUAUUCUGUAGCAUACAGGAGAAGCCUAUGAAAAUUCAUGGAGGAAACUCGUUAGAGACACGCACUGGGCUUACAUAUGAAGAAUAUCCAAAAGCGGAUGACCUGUGUUCACUCUGGGGUGAAGAUUUAACAUUUAAAUGUAUUAUAAUUAGGCUGUAAAUGCAAAAAGGUGAAACAUAGGGCACAAGUUCACGAUCUGUGCAAUCUCCAGAGACCAGUCUGAUCUAGCCUGCAGCUGGCAGUCAUCUGUCAAGAAGGGGCUCUUUGUAGCCCAGAGUAGCUGUCAGGUUGGAACCAUAAAACCAAAAGGAGGGCAUCGGCGGUUAGGUGAAGAAAAGAAGUCUUUUGGCCUUUUUUCCUCUUCAAGUCAGCUUUUGAUAAGAUCUAGUAAUAAUAAGGGGAUGGGUGUGGCUGCAGGUGGGACAUGUCGGUUCUCUGUCCUGUCACAGCUAAGAACUAAGAACUUUAGAGUCUUUCAGCCAUAGAGGGUCCUGUCAUCCAUUGAAGGGAUCAGUCCAUUGGGAUUUUGCCAGUUUUAGCAUUGAUGCUGUGUCCUGGGAAACCCCUGAAUACUUAUCAUAGCAGAAGUUCAGCCACUGUAGCCCUACCUCAGGACCGCUUUUAUGGGAAAGAAUAAUUCCUUUAACUGCUUGAGCCAUUUGAGUUGUGGCUGCUUUUGGUACUUGUAAUAAAUUGAAAGCAUCUUGAAUGUUCUGGGACAGUAAAAGAAUGUGCCUUUGUUUCUGACAGCAAUUAUAAAAUCAAUUAUAUGUUUAUAUUCUAAAAAAUGUUUUGAGUAAUGCUGACAUCAUUGGAAAAGUGCAUCACUUAGAAAAUGUAUCUGUGUGUCAAUUUUGUUUGUUCAAAAUCAGUUUCAUUAAUUUGUGGGAAGAUACACCUUGUACAUUUUACCUAAUUAAAAAAAAUAUUGCCAGUUGAGUAUACUUGUGAUAUAUUCAAAGAUAAAUAAACUUUUUCAAUUUUAGAUAUUCAUA